AGCAAGAUGCCUGAUUAAAGGAUUACUUUGAUGUAGUAAAACAAGUGAAAACCUCACUCAUGCUA
RNAcentral lists this transfer RNA (65 nucleotides) under Limois sp. WW-2021a. RNAcentral's name for it is "tRNA-Ile". The record is from RNAcentral. Lineage: Eukaryota; Metazoa; Arthropoda; Insecta; Hemiptera; Fulgoridae.